UACGUAGGGUGCAAGCGUUGUUCGGAAUCAUUGGGCGUAAAGCGCGUGUAGGUGGCUUAUUAAGUCGAUUGUGAAAUCCCUGGGCUCAACCGAGGAAGUGCAGUCGAAACUAGUAGGCUAGAGGAUAGCAGAGGAAGGUGGAAUUCCCAGUGUAGAGGUGAAAUUCGUAGAUAUUGGGAGGAAUACCGGCGGCGAAGGCGGCCUUCUGGACUAUUCCUGACACUGAGACGCGAAAGCGUGGGUAGCAAACAGG
Molecule: ribosomal RNA, 253 nt
Filed under: uncultured bacterium
Lineage: Bacteria
Description: partial 16S ribosomal RNA
Rfam family: Bacterial small subunit ribosomal RNA
Source: RNAcentral